AGCCGGUAUCCGCUGCUGUUUUCUAAGACGAGGAAAUGCCAACGCCUCCUAGAGAGAGGUAUCCUCACCUUCACAAGUGCUUUUGCAAAAGCUGCCAGCUCCUCCAUCAGUCAGGCGCUAGCAGGAGGCCAAGUUUAGAGCCACAGCGCAUUCUCUCUCUCUUUCUCUCGCUCUCUCUCUCUCUCUCACACACACACACACACACACACUUAUGCAUACCCACCACACAUCCCAGGCUGGGCGCCCUCCCAGCACUCGCCUACUCACAUCAGCGCCAGGUGUGCCAGGCUUGCCUGGAGCUCCUGGCUUUCCCGGUUCACCUGCAGGACCCUGAGCAGGGGGAGAGGGGUGCGGGGGCAGGAGAGAAAAAAGGUGCAAAGUUGAGACCCUUCAGACACAGGAAGCUGCAAAACACGUCUAAAGGAAGGAAGUGGAGCGCCAUUUGCUCCAAUCAACUUACCGGGGGACCCGGGGGACCCUUAGGACCUCGGUCACCCUGGAAGGAGAUUUCCAUGUCACCCCGCCUGCCAAAUGGAUUCUAGAGCUCCUAAAUCUAGAGUGAAAUUACGUGUUUUUUGUUCACUGUUUUGGAAUCAUCCAGAGUUGAGAUCACUGGACAGAAGAUCAAAAUUGGAGAGACAAUGAAGAAUGAAGUCUUUCCUUCCUAUCAACAGAGGAAGGGAAAGAUUAACAAAAGGAAGUUUUGGCUAACCAGAAAACCUAUACCUUUUGUUUAGAUAGUUCAUUAAAGCAAAUGUGAAGUAAUUCAUUAAACUGUUUUCUCAAAUA
Molecule: non-coding RNA, 789 nt
Organism: Macaca mulatta (Rhesus monkey)
Lineage: Eukaryota; Metazoa; Chordata; Mammalia; Primates; Cercopithecidae
Source: RefSeq, a predicted model, not a curated record